GGGGAAUAUUGCACAAUGGGCGCAAGCCUGAUGCAGCAACGCCGCGUGAGGGACGACGGCCUUCGGGUUGUAAACCUCUUUUGGCAGGGAAGAAGCGAAAGUGGCGGUACCUGCAGAAAAAGCGCCGGCUAACUACGUGCCAGCAGCCGCGGUGAUACGUAGGGUGCAAGCGUUGUCCGGAAUUAUUGGGCGUAAAGAGCUCGUAGGCGGUUUGUCGCGUCUGCUGUGAAAACCCGAGGCUCAACCUCGGGCCUGCAGUGGGUACGGGCAUACUAGAGUGCGGUAGGGGAGAUUGGAAUUCCUGGUGUAGCGGUGGAAUGCGCAGAUAUCAGGAGGAACACCGAUGGCGAAGGCAGAUCUCUGGGCCGUAACUGACGCUGAGGAGCGAAAGCAUGGGGAGCGAACA
This 406-nucleotide ribosomal RNA is filed under the name uncultured bacterium. Its description in RNAcentral is "bacterial SSU rRNA". It matches the Rfam family "Bacterial small subunit ribosomal RNA", at positions 356 to 774 of the family's 1533-position model. The record is from RNAcentral.